RNA transcript from Rattus norvegicus (Norway rat), 10216 nucleotides. It is a transcript of the gene named sperm motility kinase 3A-like, with no coding region annotated. NCBI's taxonomy places the organism in Eukaryota, Metazoa, Chordata, Mammalia, Rodentia, Muridae. The record is from RefSeq and is a predicted model, not a curated record.
CCAUGGGUACCAUGGAUAUACAUGGACACCUAGGCACAUAAGGGGGUAUGCAUAUACACGAAAAAACUCCCUCUCACACAGAAGUUGGCAUGAUGUAUAGAAAAACAAGUCCAUCCUGAGUGUGGGCUUCACUUUAGAUAUUAAGGUCCAACAUUAAAACAGGAAUGUGUGAAGACAAGGAGCUCUGUGUUCCCUGGGACCAGAAGGAACAGAGUGGCUGUGCUGACUCACAUGAAAUAAACUCUCAAUCACAGUCUGUGACAGCCAGGUCACAGGACCCAGGCUGCUGUGUUAUGUGUGAGCACCCAGUGCAGCCAGAAGCUAAGUACUGAGCACUGACUGGCCCAAGCCCAGAAAGGGUCUCUGUUUUUCAGAGUGCUGGGGGACAGUGCAGUGUGUAGCAGUUUCCUCUUGAAGACUCUUCUGGGGUUUUGAGUUCCCUGUAGAGGACCCUCAUGGCUACAGACACUAAGCCUGGGAGGAAAGAUCCUCAUCUGUAGAGUUCAUUGAAAGGCCUGAGAGCAGAAAAGCAAAGAAGCAGCAAAAUGUGCCCCUUCUGCUCACUGUGGUUCAGCUUCUGCCUUUGCAGUUGAGCUCAGGUGCCCUGGAGUCCUCCCUAGCCUGAGUGAGUGAUUUCAAGGCCAAGUCACAUCCUCCUGGUUUUUAGUAUCAAACGCAGCCCAGUUUCAGCCCAGGUAAGCUGUGAAUACCAGGUAUGCCUUGCUGUCUGCAUUGUAGGGGAACUGUUGAGCCCCAAAGGACGCAAGGGCUACAAGGUAAGGAAUCAUAGGACUGGGCUAGGCCUGGAAUCCAAGUUCCCUUCACCCCUGCCUGGUAACUGGUUCUUGCUGUGUAUAGGGGACAGAAAGAUAGGGUCCUAUGGGAGCCCUGGCACAGGCCUGCCCAAGCAUGGCUUAGGGAUCCUCACAACAUCCUAGCAUUUGAUGUGUCCCCAGGUUUGUCUACCACCCUCAGCCGUGUGCCAUUUUCUGUGCCACCUGCAAGGGACUCUAAAUAUCUUCCUACAAAAGGUGAUCAAGGAGGGGUUGUACAAGGACACAUGGUGGCUCUGUGGUGAAGUUAACAUGGACCAAUAGAUUAGAGGGCCAGAGCCCCAGGACCAAUGCUGGGUGGACACACUCCUCUGACAUCCAACACAGAGAUCUUUGUACAGAGAUCAAGAGAAUUCUUAUCUGAAUAGCAGUGCAGAGCACCUCAGGCUCAGGGACUCAGGACUGACACCCAUAGAAUGCUGUAGAGGAGCCGUUUGUGAUUCAAGGGCUCAUCUGCCUGGGUCCUUGAGCCUAUAGAGAUGAGCAGAGGACUGGGCUGUGGCUGGUUAUGGGCUCAGACAGGGAGGUGCUAGGGAGCUUGUUUUUGGCUCCUGGGAGUAGAGCAGUUUUUCUUUCCCUGUCCCUGCUUUUUGAGUUUUUCUUUCCUUGGGAAAAUGGAAGGACUGGAAGAAGUCUGGCUAUGGAGAGUGAGGCUGGCUGGGAAACUGCUCGCUGUUCUCCAUUGUCAUCCUGCUGGGGGUUUGGGGUUGUUGGCAGGUUAGCCUCUCCACCAUUCCAGUCUGCUUCUCUCCAUUUAAUCCAUGCAUCUCUGUCUCUUCGCUUCGUUACAUGGAUGCACAAGUCCUACCAGUAGCUGCCACUCCAGGGCAUAAGUCCCUCAGUGAGUGAAUUCCAGAUGGUUCUGUCUAGAGAGAAAUUGGACAGGGUCGUUCAUCAGUAUGUAGGAACAUGGAAGAUGAUACUGCACUGCACCCAAACACAUUUCAUAUAAAAUCAAUCCUACUGGUCAGGUACUAAUCCACUCUAUUUACACCUUUCCCCAUUAUUGCUAUUCACUGUACUGUGAAUUUUUAUUAUAUUUUACUUCUGCAAAAGAAGAGACAGAGUUUAGCACUGGAGAUUCCCUAGGGACUGGCUGGAAAGGACGCCUUGACACACGUGUGCUUCUGGGAAAAAGCUCUUUCAUAGGAUGCCUCCAUGAGUUCCAGGAUGUGUGGAGGGCUCUGUGCCCUAUCCAGGGUUGACCUCAAUAUAUUAAUGGGAGCUGAUGCUUCUCUCUAAUAGAACAGUGCCACCCUCCUUGGAGAUGUCUGUGAUUGUAUAUGCUUAGCUUUAGAGUAUCAUUAUUAGGAGACUUUGCCUUGUUAAAGUAGGUGUGUCACAUUGGCCUGGGCUUUAAGACCCUUUUCCUAUCCACAUGCAAGCCAAUCUUCCCCAAGCAGCCUUCAGAUGAAGAUGUAGAACUCUCAGUCUCUCUGGCACCAUGCCUGCCUGGAUGCUGCCAUGCUCCCCAGCUUGAAGAUAAUGGACUGAGUUUCUGAACCUGCAAUCCUGUGUUCAUUAAUGUUGUCCUUAUAAGAGCUGCAUUUGUUGUGGUGUGUCUCUUCUCAGCAGUAAACCCCUAACUCAAACAAUGUCCAUGUUCCCUUCUUCUGCCUCCAGACAUUAGAAGCUUCCUACAUGAGCGGCAUACUCUUGGGAUAUGGCCCUAAUAGGCGCUAGGCUGUCUGCUUGAUCUGAGAGUGCUAGGACAUCCUGCUCCUAAGGGCAUUGUUACCGCUCCCUUGCAAUACUGUUUAUAGCAUCAGCAGGCUCCUGCUCUGUUACCCGCUGAACACAAUGCUGUCUUCUACAGGAGUGGAUCCAACAGCUCUCAGAACCUCCUCAGGAACUAUGUGUUUCCCAAGGAUUACCUGCACUUGCUUACACACCCCUAUCCUGUGUUCUGAAAACUUUUCAAAGCCCAUUCAUCUGUGACUGCUGCUGUCUGAAGUAGAGAACACUGUCAACUGCCCCAGAGGGGAUUUUGGGAGCUCCUACCAAGAAUGCCUCAGCUCCUUACUGAGAAGAUAUACAUUCCACAGAUGGGGCUUUAUUGAGAUGAGCAGAUUCUAAGGGGGCUGCCUUGAAUGAACAGCCAAAAAAGGAGAAAUGAAGAACAAGCAAUUGCACCAGCCAUGUCGAAGGUGACUUUGCUCUGAAGAAUAGGACUGGAAGAAACUGAUUAAGUCAAAUCACUUCUCUAUCUCUGUAUCUCUAUCUCUAUCUCUAUCUCUCUAUCCACCCAUCCAUCCAUCAACCAUCCAUCUAUCUAUCUAUCUAUCUAUCUAUCUAUCUAUCUAUCUAUCUAUCUAUCUAUCUAUCUAUCUAUCUAUCUAUCUAUCUAUCUCCCUGAGGGAAGUCAGCUUUCAUUUGUAGGAAGAAGGUCACAUCCGCGCCCCAUUAUGGUGAAAACCAGGAUUGCAGGGAGUGAGAUAGAUGGGUUAUUUCUUUCUUCCUUCCUUGUAUCUUCUUAUAUCUUUGUAUCUUUGUUUCUUUGUAUCUUUCUUUCUUCCUUCCUUCCUUCCUCCCCCCCCCCCCUCUCUCUCUCUCUCUCUCUCUCUCUCUCUCUCUCUCUCUCUCUCUCUCUCUCUCCUUCUUUCUUUCUUACUUCUUUUUUGCUUUUGGUAGGAUAGAAUGCCAGUUGUGGCCAGUCCCCAUCAGCAUCCACUGUGCUACAGACCCAGUCUCAGUGUGACACAGAAGAGGCCUAAUUGGAAAGUUUGUCCUCUCUCUAAGGGAUACUGUAUAUACAGUGCUCUGGACUGCAGGUCAGACAAGGCCUGCGUUUAGGAGACUUGUGGACAGAAGAAUGUCUGUGAGUCUGGACUUAGACUCCGUGGAGGGCUCAGGUCACCUGACUGUCCUGAAGCUUCCCACUGUGAAUUAUUUCCCUCCUACAGAGUCAGCCACCUGAGCAACUUCAUUUCCUGGUUAUCCCUUAAUCCUCUUACACUGUGUAGAGUGUUCAAUCUCAGGGAGGGCCUGGGAAUCUGAGAGACACCACUGAGCCCCCUGGGCCUGGCUGAUUCAACCUGAGGCUACUCUGUGUGUCUUCAUUUUGCUCACCCACCAGAGACCUCAAAAGUCAGCAGUGAGCUUGCUGUGAGGUCAGGAACCUCCAUAUUGGCCCAAGAGCAACUGUCCUCUUUUACAGGUUCAUCCACAGAGCACGUAAUUCUGAUUGGUGCAACAGUCUGGAAGAGUGAAAGACGUCAUCUCCCAAGGGCAAGUGCUGUGCUAGUGGACACUGAGGAGCUGCACGGAUCAGACCCUUCCCCAUCCUUCUCCAGCCUCUCUUGUUCUUCCUUGAGAUGUUUCCUACAGAUCUGAAAGAUCCAGGCAGUCCAUGACAUGCAUUUGAAUUUAAUCUCAGGACAUUUUACUCCUUGCUCUAAAAUUAAGACCAGGUAAUUCAUUUGUUUGUUUGUUUAUUUAUUUGUUAUAUGUAAGUACAAUGUAGCUGUCUUUAGAAACACCAGAUACAGCAUCAGGUCUCAUUUGAGAUAUUUGUGAGCCACCAUAUAGUUGCUGGGAUUUGAACUCUGGACCUCUGAUAGAGCAUUCAGUGCUCCUAACCACUGAGCAAUUUUUCCAACUUCCAGACUAACUUUUUAAAUUCCCAUAAUGUAUUCUUUAUUCAGGUUACAUCCUGAUCCCAGCCACUCUCCCUCUGCCUGUCUUCAGGGUAGGAGAUUACAGGAAGGCCCCAAUUUUCAGCAGGGGAGUGGGUUUGCUUCCAGAGCAGGCAGUGGGGUCGUAAACAUCUCACUCUCAGGGAAUUGGGAGCUUUCCCAUAUAAGAAUUUUCUGUGGUGGAAGCUCAGUUUGCUGUCUGGCUUCUUUUUAGUUUUCUCUUGCUUCUUCUGGAAUGAGAAUUUCUUUAUUAAGAGCUUAGAGGGUGUUUCUGGCCAGACUAUGUUCAUGUGCAGGCCCAUCCCUGGACGGCUGGAUGCUUAGACUCUCCUGGGGAGACCUGUUUCCUUUCUGCAGCAGGCCAGCUACUAUGAGAACAAAAGGACCCCAUCAGAUGUUCACAGUGCACAACACACAUACACAAACUCACGCAUGCACACACACACACACUAUACAAAUAUAUAUAUAUAUAUAUAUGUAUAUAUCUUCCAUAUUCCUAAACCCACACAACAUACACAUCACGUGUCAGAUGUGCAUGCACAUUACAUAUAUCACAGACAUAUAUACACUGUGCACAUCACACGUGCCAUUUGUACUUAUAUGCACACAUGCAUGCACACCUCACUCUACACACAUGCCUGCCAUGCACACAUGUAUAUAGGAACACCAAAAUGAGUGAAGAGAUUUUAAAGGAGGCUUGUGCAGUCAGGGUAUGAUAGGCUUGGGCAUGACUACCCUCUGUGUUACAGUCAACUGCGGUCUGGUCUUUUAGCUACUUUCACAACAGGGCCAGUGCCUGUGUAGAAGGAACACCAAGGCCACAUCUCAGGGAAGUGAACUGAGGACUCAGAAGAGGCACAGGCCCUGGAGUAUGGAAAGGCAGAGCAUGGUAUGCAGAUGUAAAUGCUGUAAGGCACUCUGGCUUGUCCACUCCAAUAGGCACAAUAGUAAGCACGAGGCCAGUAGAUGUCGUAUCCGUGGGAAGAACCCUCUGGAUGCCAUGUUAGCAACUUAGGGUGUUUCUUGUUUUCAGUCCAUGCUGUGGACAAGGAAUCAGGAGGUGUGGGGUAGAGUGGAGACUUGAGCACCUACCCUCUAUGUUGUGAACCUAGUGGAUGUUUUUCUGCCCUUCUAGAACUGUGAGUGGCCUGUGCCAGCACAGCAGAAUGGGGACAUUCCCAGUUCCAUAGGAUACUGCAGGCUUGGGGACUGGGUACUUAGGCUUUUGGCUGUGCACCACACCACCUUCCUGACCAAUGGUACAUUAAGUCAACCAGUGCUUGCAGAAUGCUUGAGACAACACAAAUGUCUCCUUUCUAACUGGAAACAACAUAUAAAGGUCUAAUACAAGUCAGUAAUGUGUCUCUGAUUGUCCUGUGGCACUGGGUGAAUUAAGGACAUGAUGGAGAGCAUGCCAAAGAGUCUAACUCAUUCUGUCCCAUCUUCCUUCUGAAUGCAGGUCUCCAGGAUCCAGUGCUCACACGGACUCAGGGCUGCUGCUCAGGGAACCAGCAAACCCUGUUGCUCUGACCAUGCCACCGUGAAGGGCGGUCUCGUUCUGUUCCAGUCUCUGCGGUGCCACUGUGUAUUAGAAAGGACAUCUUUCAAAGGAGGGGUUGGUGAAGGGCAAUUUACCUUCUCUUUCAGAGAUACAACUGUCUGAGGAGAGGCUAGGAGGUGUUGCAGAACCAAAAUAUAGAGCUAGAGGGAUCAUAAAAUCGAGGUUGGAAGGUUAGCUCAAGGCUGCAUGUCCCUGAACACCUUGGUGGGGGUGAAGGGUGACUUAAUAGUCACUAGUAGCCCAGUGCCUGUCAGUACUCUACAUGACCUUGUUGCCCUUGCUUCUUCUGGUGCUCAACAGCACCACUCAGAUGCAAACAGCAAGGCCUAGAUAGUGUCCACAUCUCCCAUGGCUUGACACUGUGCUGGGUUUGAUACUACAAACUGGGAGGCUGGGACUUGAACUUGAGAUCACUGACUCAGGCUAGGGAGGACUCCAGGGCACCUGAGCUCAGCUGCAAAGGCAGAAACUGAACCACAGUGAGCAGAAGGGGCACAUUUUGCUGUUUCUUUCCUUUUCUGCUCUCAGGCCUUUCAAUGAACACUACAGAUGAGGAUCUUUCCUCCCAGGCUUAGUGUCUGCAGCCAUGAGGGUCCUCUACAGGGGAUUGAAAACCCCAGAAGAGUCUUCAGAAGGAAAGUGCUACACACUGCACUUCCCCCAGCACUCUGAAAAACAGAGACCCUUUUGGGAUUUGGGCCAGUCAGUGCUCAAUAGUUAACUUCUGGCUGCACUGGGUGCUCACAAAUAACACAGCAGCCUGGGUCCUGUGACCUGGCUGUCACAGACUGUGAUUGAGAGUUUAUUUUAACUGUGUCAGCACAGGAACUCUGUUCCUUCUGGUCUGAGGGAGCACAGAGCUCCUUGUCCUCACACACACCUGUUCCACUAUUGGACCUUAGUGUCUUAAAGUAAGCCCUACACUCAGGAUGGACUUGGUUUUCUAUAAAAUCCUGCCAACCUCUGUGUGUAAAGAGGGGGAGGGGAGGGAUGGAAGGAUGGCGAGAGAGAGAGAGAGAGAGAGAGGGAUGGAUGGAGGGAAAGACAGAACAAGAGAGAGAGCAAGAGUGAGAGCAAGAGCAAGCGAGAGAGAGAGAGAGAGAGAGAGAGAGAGAGAGAGAGAGAGAGAGAGAGAACAUGCACUAGCCACCAAAGAAGCAUUCCUGUAUUCUUCAUUAGCCUUACAGCUUUGUCUCUCUUCCCUGAUUAUUGCCUUUUCUGCUGUGUUGGGUUUUUUUGUAAAGAAAUGCUUGACUUUCUCUUCCUUUCUGUUGAUCUGGGGUUUGGUUCUUUUUUUCUUUGUUACCAUGGAGAUCAUACUGAAAAUGCUAAAAUACUACCAGUCCUAUGUGAACUGUAUUACUGCUAUUUUGACAGCCCUGAACAACUUCUUCAGUUUCUGAUGUCAAUGAAGGAGAUGUCUGUGUACAUGAGCCUCGGUGGCACUGCUGUUUGUGGUCAUAUAACAUGGCAUCUCUCACAUCUUGGAGGAAGCAGAAGUUCACCUUGCCUUUGGGGAUUGUCCGGGGAUCACCUGUUCUUUAUUUCUUCUUGAGAUUCUGAAAUCCUUUAAAUCGGUCUUCAUCUGUGGGAGUUUCUUAGUUUUCUUCCUCAAUUUUGAAGGAAAAUUUUACUAGAAAAUCAUAGUUCCUAAAGAGUGUUUGUGUUGUUGUUUUUGUAUAGUGUUGUGUAUACUCACCCAUUCUGUGAGUCUGUGUGAGUGUAAGUCUGUGUGUUUGUAAUAAAGGGUGGGAAUGUGUGUGGUGUGGUAUGUGUGUGCUUGUGUGUGUGUAUGUGUGUGUGUGUGUGUGUGUGUGUGUGUGUGUGAGAGAGAGAGAGAGAGAGAGAGAGAGAGAGAGAGAGAGAGAAAAGAAUGAAGCAGUCUUGUAUGUACACUGUUAUGGAUGUGUCCCACCAUGUGUGUGGAGGUUAGAGGACAUUUUUGUCAGACCUUAUCUUACCUUGUUUGGAACUAGGUGUGUGGUUUGAUGUUGCACAUGGCAGGUUGCCUGAAUGACAAGCUCCCAGGCAAAUUUCUGUCUCUCCUGCUUUUCCUGCUUCCUAAAAGCUCUGGUAUUACAGGUGUGUGCUCAACUUUCGCAUGGGUUCAAAAUCAGGUCUUCACCCUUUGCAGGGCAGAUGAGAAUCAAAAGCCUUGGAAGCUGUGAGGAAGGCAUCUUCCUGUCACCCUACAGGUGGUAAUAAGCUUCUUUAUUAUGUCUCAUGAGCAGUGUUGGGGUGCAGGAAUCACCCCACAAACCAGACAGCCAUUUCAGUCAAGCAGGGACAGUUUAUGGAACAUAUAUCCUGGGACUGAUUGGUCAGAGACACAUGUCACACAGGGGAGUAGAGACUGCAACCCUAUUUCCAAGGACUGCAGUAUGAAAGGCAAAACCACAGAAGCUCUUAGCAACUAAGAGCUCAUACACAGGUGCCGAAAGUCUUCCCAGGCAGUUGGGUAGUUGGUUCGGGUCCAAGGUUAUUGUUACUAGCAUACAAAGCAAUUCUAACUAAACUUAACUAUGAUUGGCCCUAAAGGAGGGCACAGGUUAGGGUAAUUUCCAGGAACAACAGACCACACAACUUAGUGCGAUAUGUAGUUAAUGAUUAGCUGGGCAUGAGAAAGGUCCUCUGUAAUAAUGUAAGAUGGCUGGUGACUGGUAUUAAAACAAAGUGGCUACAGUAAUGUCAGAAAGGCAGCAGCCACCCAGGUCUUAAAGAGAAGAUUACACACACACACACACACACACACACACACACACACACACACACACACAUAUAUAUAUGUAUAUAUAUAUAUAUAUAUAUAUAUAUAUAUAUAUAUAUAUAUCUGUAGCAUCUUCUUAAACCCUUCAGUUGGAAUGCAAAAGGGACCCAUGGAAGGUAGACAUAAGGAAUUUAAAGGAGGAGGCACAGCAAAAGUUCAGAGAACUAAGGACAGCAAACCACCCUGCAGGCUUUGAUUUAUAAAAGCCUAAAGGCUCCCCAUAGCCAACCUAAGCCAGAGCCUUGGAGUCCUUCCCAACCAUGCAAGGACAGGUCCUAUUGUGACCUCAUGAGGAGUGAUUGUGAGGCGGUCCAGCCAACAGAUGUUAAGCUGUAGCCAGGCCUGGAUUUCCUUGAGUGUGUUUAGAGGAGUGGUGGAGUGGAGACUUUGGUGAUUUUGGUGGAUCUAGUGAGCAGUGUGUGGAUUUUGCAUUUGAUUGAUUUGUGAGUAGCUUGUGUAUGUGUGUCUAGGUCAGUGUUUGUGUGGAGGGUCGCUUUUGUGUGUGUGUGUUGUGUGUGUGUGUGUGUUUGCGUGUUUGCGUGUGCAUGUAUGUUGUGUUUUAAGUUUACUUGAGUGUGUGAGUACCUUUGUGUGUGUGUGUGUGUGUGUGUGUGUGUGUGUGUGUGUGUGUGUUGGUAUACUUGGGGGUGACUGUGAGUGCAUCUGUGUGUGUGGGUGUGUGUGUGCCCAACUUGUGUGUGAGUGUCUGUUGUGACGUACGUGCACUAGUUGUAAGUGUGAGAACACCUGUGUGAGGAAAAGUAUUGAGGCUGGCAGUCAGCUUGGCCAUUGUUCCUAAGUGCACAGCAGAGGCAAGAAGACCAUCAACACUGAAAGCACAGAAGACAAAUCCAGUGACUCAGCAGAGGUUAAGCCUGUCGCAAGCAGGCCCUGGCCCAAAAGAUUUAGGGGGUGGGUCAAGAACAUCCGAAAUGGCCUGAUGAACCUGUGUUGCUGCAUUCCGUCCAGAAAAAAACCUCCCCUGGGGCACAACAGAGUUGUUCCCCAGAAAUGAAGAACAUGGAAGGAAUCCAGAGAGCAAGCAUCCAACACUGCCCAGAAGAUCACUAGAGGAUGCCGGAUGCUGCAUCUCUGCAGUCCCAGUAUUGAAGUGGACCCACGUGUGGACACGGUCCUGCAGAAGGGAGCGCUGUGAGAGCUGUCACCUUCCAGGUCAGCUGUGGAAGGAUGAAAGCAAAUGAAGAGAUGCCAGGUGGCAAGAGAGCACCUCAAAGGCAUCACUCUUCCUGGUGGAGGUUGAAAACCAGUCCAAAGCUGGUAAAGACCAGAGCCCUUUUGCCGACCAGGGUCACAUCACACACCUCCUCUUGGCACAAGUUCUCGCCUCACUCUUAGUGGAGAAUAUAUGUCUUCUCAAUGUGUUUAUCCGACUCUGAGAAUAAAAUAGCUGUUUGUGAAA